AUGGAGCGUUUGAUCAUCAGACUAUAUAAUGAGUGGGAAAUACAGCUACUCGUGCUCCUUAGCUUCACAUUGCAGUUGUUCCUCUUCUUCGCCGGCAGGCUCCGGCGGUGUAGCGGCAACAGGCUCCUAAGGAGCUCCCUUUGGGCUGCUUACUUGGGGGCAGACCUGGCAGCAGUCUAUGCACUCGGCUAUCUGUCACGGCAUCAGGAUAUCAACAUUGAAAGGCUGAGAAGAACCGAACAACUGGCUUUCUUUUGGGCACCAUUUCUCCUCAUUCAUCUUGGUGGGCAGGACACCAUUACUGCUUUUGCCAUGGAGGAUAACAACUUGUGGUUGAGGCAUCUCUUGAAUCUGCUCACCCAAAUUGUCCUAGCUUUAUAUGUAUUCCAGAAGUCCAUUGGAAGACACAGCGCGAACCUUUUACUCUCAGGUAUCUUUGCGUUUAUUGCCGGAAUUAUCAAGUAUGGAGAAAGAAUAUGGUCUCUCAAGUGUGGCCGUCUUAGAAGUCUUGAGAGCUCAACUGGGCAUCAGAGCAGAAAACAAUUGCCUGAAGGAAUCGCUGGCGACGCUGGCUUUGUUGGCGCUGCUCUCAAUUCCAUGCCACGCGCCCUUGAUGUCUUACUGGAGCGCAGCAUGAUUGAUCCAUCGUCAGACGAAUUGGUAAAGACAGAAGUCGACUCUGAUGAAAUGAUCAAGAUGGUGAGGCUUCAGCUUGGCAUAAUAUACGACGACCUCUACACUAAGGCUCUUGUGCUCAGGACUUGGAGCGGAGUUAUGCUUAGAUGCAUCUCCCAGGCCUCGGUUAUUGUUGCUUUUGCGCUCUUCCAUCCAGAUGACAAACAGAGGUAUAGCAAAGCUGAUAUUGCAAUCACCUAUGCACUAUUUGUCGGGUGCUUUUUCCUGGAAGUCUGCUCAAUGUUCAUUUCCAUGAUGUCACCAUGGACAUGGGCAUGGUUGAAGGUUCAAAAUUGUGAUGUCCUUGCCAGGUUGUCAUGGUUUGUGUUUUGCUGUGACAUCGGAUACCCGAGGAUGAAACAACGGUGGCCAAAUUUGAUUGGGCAGUACAACUUCCAUAGCUGGUUAACUGACAGCGACCUGCAGCGAAGUACAUGUAAUGGACAAAUAAUGGUCGUCUUCAGAAAGCUGUUUGUGGGUUUUCUCGGUGUUAAAAAGAAGAAAAUGUUUUGGAUAAGCAAUCUAUUGGACACCAAGUACACGGAUGUGGAUGAAAUGAUCGUGAAAUGUGUAGCAAAAGAGCUUAGUCUGUUACUACAUGAGUUUGACGAUGAUCAAACACCACAAAAAUGGCCAAACAUUAGCCCACUGUUUGGCAAUGCACAGGAUGGGAUUAUUAGAGACUUUGGCUACGGUAUUAUCUUCAUGCACUACGUCACAGAGACACUUUUAGAAAAACCUGCUUCCCCUAGUGAGGACAUGGAAGCAAAUGCUGCAAGGCCAGAUGUACCUUCUGGUCUGGUGGAGGUAUGCCGGAAACUCUCCAACUACAUGAUGUACCUUUUGGUUACCCACCCUUCCAUGCUGCCACUGUCUAUCAGCGCCACAGCUACCCUGGAUCACUUCCAGGAACCUGAACGGCUUAAAGAUGUCACAAAGCUCAUGGAGGACUUUGAAUUGGUGGCAACCAUAGAAACACUGGAGGAGAUAGCACGCCUGUGGGUGAGGCUACUCCUCUACACCGCUGGCAAGUCGAAGGCAGAGAUGCACGCGGCGCAGCUGAGUGAAGGCGGGGAGCUCAUCACAUUCGCCUGGCUGCUCAUGGCCCACCGCGGGAUCGGGGAUUACCAUCUUAGAAGGAUCCAUCUUACCAAUGGCAAUACUCGUGGAGCAGAUGCAGAGUUGACGAAUGUAUACGCCUUUUAUGUUCCCCGAAAGUCGGAAGAUCAGAUACCGGCCGCUGAUCAUGGGUCGGAUGUAUAA
This 1938-nucleotide ribosomal RNA is filed under the name Triticum aestivum (bread wheat). RNAcentral describes it as "partial small subunit ribosomal RNA". Lineage: Eukaryota; Viridiplantae; Streptophyta; Magnoliopsida; Poales; Poaceae. The record is from RNAcentral.